RNAcentral lists this ribosomal RNA (253 nucleotides) under uncultured bacterium. Its description in RNAcentral is "partial 16S ribosomal RNA". It matches the Rfam family "Bacterial small subunit ribosomal RNA", at positions 524 to 776 of the family's 1533-position model. The record is from RNAcentral.
UACGUAGGCAGCGAGCGUUGUUCGGAGUUACUGGGCGUAAAGGGUGUGUAGGCGGUUGUUUAAGUUUGGUGGGAAAUCUCCCGGCUCAACUGGGAGGGUGCGCCGAAUACUGAAUGACUAGAGUGCGGGAGAGGAAAGUGGAAUUCCUGGUGUAGCGGUGAAAUGCGUAGAUAUCAGGAGGAACACCGGUGGUGUAGACGGCUUUCUGGACCGUAACUGACGCUGAGACACGAAAGCGUGGGUAGCAAACAGG